This 756-nucleotide ribosomal RNA is filed under the name uncultured bacterium. RNAcentral's name for it is "bacterial SSU rRNA". It matches the Rfam family "Bacterial small subunit ribosomal RNA", at positions 8 to 796 of the family's 1533-position model. The record is from RNAcentral.
AGAGUUUGAUCCUGGCUCAGAAUCAACGCUGGCGGCGUGCCUAACACAUGCAAGUCGAACGAGAAAGUGGAGCAAUCCAUGAGUAAAGUGGCGCACGGGUGAGUAACACGUGACUAACCUACCCUUGAGUGGGGGAUAACCUGGGGAAACCUUAGCUAAUACCGCAUAACACCUACGGGUCAAAGGAGCAAUUCGCUUAAGGAGGGGGUCGCGGCAGAUUAGUUAGUUGGCGGGGUAAUGGCCCACCAAGACAGUGAUCUGUAUCCGGCCUGAGAGGGCGCACGGACACACUGGAACUGAAACACGGUCCAGACUCCUACGGGAGGCAGCAGUGGGGAAUUUUGCGCAAUGGGGGAAACCCUGACGCAGCAACGCCGCGUGGAGGAUGAAGUCCCUUGGGACGUAAACUCCUUUCGACCGGGACGAUUAUGACGGUACCGGAAGAAGAAGCCCCGGCUAACUUCGUGCCAGCAGCCGCGGUAAUACGAGGGGGGCGAGCGUUGUUCGGAAUUAUUGGGCGUAAAGGGUGCGUAGGCGGUUCGGUAAGUUUCGUGUGAAAUCUUCGGGCUCAACUCGAAGCCUGCACGAAAUACUGCCGGGCUUGAGUGUGGGAGAGGUGAGUGGAAUUUCCGGUGUAGCGGUGAAAUGCGUAGAUAUCGGAAGGAACACCUGUGGCGAAAGCGGCUCACUGGACCACAACUGACGCUGAUGCACGAAAGCUAGGGGAGCAAACAGGAUUAGAUACCCCCGUAGUCC